This 960-nucleotide ribosomal RNA is filed under the name Claviceps africana. RNAcentral's name for it is "LSU rRNA". It matches the Rfam family "Eukaryotic large subunit ribosomal RNA", at positions 42 to 1031 of the family's 3401-position model. Lineage: Eukaryota; Fungi; Ascomycota; Sordariomycetes; Hypocreales; Clavicipitaceae. The record is from RNAcentral.
AUCAAUAAGCGGAGGAAAAGAAACCAACAGGGAUUGCCCCAGUAACGGGGAGUGAAGCGGCAGCAGCUCAAAUUUGAAAUCUGGCCCCCCACGGGGCCCGAGUUGUAAUUUGCAGAGGAUGCUUUUGGCGAGGCGCCUUCCGAGUUCCCUGGAACGGGACGCCAUAGAGGGUGAGAGCCCCGUCUGGUCGGACGCCGAGCCUCUGUAAAGCUCCUUCGACGAGUCGAGUAGUUUGGGAAUGCUGCUCUAAAUGGGAGGUAUAUGUCUUCUAAAGCUAAAUACCGGCCAGAGACCGAUAGCGCACAAGUAGAGUGAUCGAAAGAUGAAAAGCACUUUGAAAAGAGGGUUAAACAGUACGUGAAAUUGUUGAAAGGGAAGCGCUCGUGACCAGACUUGGGCCCGGCGGAUCACCCAGCGUUCUCGCUGGUGCACUCCGGCGGGCCCAGGCCAGCAUCAGCUCGUCCCGGGGGACAAAGGCGGGGGGAACGUGGCUCCUCCGGGAGUGUUAUAGCCCACCGCGCAAUGCCCUGGGGCGGGCUGAGGACCGCGCGUACGCAUGGAUGCUGGCGUAAUGGUCACCAGCGACCCGUCUUGAAACACGGACCAAGGAGUCGUCUUCGUAUGCGAGUGUUCGGGUGUCAAACCCCUACGCGUAAUGAAAGUGAACGCAGGUGAGAGCUUCGGCGCAUCAUCGACCGAUCCUGAUGUUCUCGGAUGGAUUUGAGUAGGAGCAUACGGGGCCGGACCCGAAAGAAGGUGAACUAUGCCUGUGUAGGGUGAAGCCAGAGGAAACUCUGGUGGAGGCUCGCAGCGGUUCUGACGUGCAAAUCGAUCGUCAAACAUGGGCAUGGGGGCGAAAGACUAAUCGAACCUUCUAGUAGCUGGUUUCCGCCGAAGUUUCCCUCAGGAUAGCAGUGCUGAUCUCAGUUUUAUGAGGUAAAGCGAAUGAUUAGGGACCCG